RNAcentral lists this microRNA (22 nucleotides) under Ciona intestinalis (vase tunicate). Its description in RNAcentral is "cin-miR-5604-5p". Lineage: Eukaryota; Metazoa; Chordata; Ascidiacea; Phlebobranchia; Cionidae. The record is from miRBase by way of RNAcentral.
AAGUUUCACAGAAGAGGAACAA